Molecule: ribosomal RNA, 372 nt
Filed under: uncultured organism
Description: bacterial SSU rRNA
Rfam family: Bacterial small subunit ribosomal RNA
Source: RNAcentral
CAGAGGGGGCAAGCGUUGUUCGGAAUUACUGGGCGUAAAGGGCGCGUAGGCGGCCCGCUAAGUCGAACGUGAAAUCCCCGAGCUCAACUCGGGAACUGCGUCCGAUACUGGCGGGCUUGAAUCCGGGAGAGGGAUGCGGAAUUCCAGGUGUAGCGGUGAAAUGCGUAGAUAUCUGGAGGAACACCGGUGGCGAAGGCGGCAUCCUGGACCGGCAUUGACGCUGAGGCGCGAAAGCGAGGGGAGCAAACGGGAUUAGAUACCCCGGUAGUCCUAGCCCUAAACGAUGAAUGCUUGGUGUGGCGGGUAUCGAUCCCUGCCGUGCCGAAGCUAACGCAUUAAGCAUUCCGCCUGGGGAGUACGGUCGCAAGGCUG